Molecule: unclassified non-coding RNA, 352 nt
Filed under: soil metagenome
Description: partial contains 5.8S ribosomal RNA, internal transcribed spacer 2, and large subunit ribosomal RNA
Rfam family: 5.8S ribosomal RNA (bases 1-120)
Source: RNAcentral
GAUGAAGAACUUAGCGAAAUGCGAUAAGUAAUGUGAAUUGCAGAAUUCAGUGAAUCAUCGAAUCUUUGAACGCACAUUGCGCCCGCCAGUAUUCUGGCGGGCAUGCCUGUUCGAGCGUCAUUACAACCCUCAGGCCCCCGGGCCUGGCGUUGGGGAUCGGCGGAGCCCCCCGUGGGCACACGCCGUCCCCCAAAUGCAGUGGCGGUCCCGCCGCAGCUUCCAUCGCGUAGUAGCUAACACCUCGCGACUGGAGAGCGGCGCGGCCACGCCGUAAAACACCCAACCCUUCUGAAGUUGACCUCGAAUCAGGUAGGAAUACCCGCUGAACUUAAGCAUAUCAAUAAGCGGAGGA